Molecule: long non-coding RNA, 234 nt
Filed under: Citrus sinensis (sweet orange)
Lineage: Eukaryota; Viridiplantae; Streptophyta; Magnoliopsida; Sapindales; Rutaceae
Description: long non-coding RNA (CSIN_LNC004640)
Source: RNAcentral
AGUAGAGCCAAGGUGGCUGAACGAUGACGAAUUUGGCACCACCAAUUUCGAAAUUAUAUGAUUUAUGGAAAAGUACUAAUUUCAUUAGCCCAAAGUAGACUGUGGUGGUGGAAAGGUCACCCAAAGUAGCAGCAGCAACAUAUUCCAUAGCCUAACGGUGGUGCAUUCUGAUUCAUGGCCACCUUGGUCAUACUUGUUGGUUGACAGUGAGUUUGGUUCAGUGGGCAAUGUCCC